This 472-nucleotide ribosomal RNA is filed under the name uncultured bacterium. RNAcentral's name for it is "bacterial SSU rRNA". It matches the Rfam family "Bacterial small subunit ribosomal RNA", at positions 355 to 825 of the family's 1533-position model. The record is from RNAcentral.
UGGGGAAUUUUGGACAAUGGGCGCAAGCCUGAUCCAGCCAUGCCGCGUGCGGGAAGAAGGCCUUCGGGUUGUAAACCGCUUUUGUCAGGGAAGAAACGCUCUGGGCUAAUACCCUAGGGUAAUGACGGUACCUGAAGAAUAAGCACCGGCUAACUACGUGCCAGCAGCCGCGGUAAUACGUAGGGUGCAAGCGUUAAUCGGAAUUACUGGGCGUAAAGCGUGCGCAGGCGGUUAUGCAAGACAGAUGUGAAAUCCCCGGGCUCAACCUGGGAACUGCAUUUGUGACUGUAUAGCUAGAGUACGGUAGAGGGGGAUGGAAUUCCGCGUGUAGCAGUGAAAUGCGUAGAUAUGCGGAGGAACACCGAUGGCGAAGGCAAUCCCCUGGACCUGUACUGACGCUCAUGCACGAAAGCGUGGGGAGCAAACAGGAUUAGAUACCCCCGUAGUCCCUGAGCGGGCUGGCAAGGCGCAU